Long non-coding RNA from Siniperca chuatsi (mandarin fish), 2052 nucleotides. RefSeq lists it as uncharacterized. NCBI's taxonomy places the organism in Eukaryota, Metazoa, Chordata, Actinopteri, Centrarchiformes, Sinipercidae. The transcript is spliced from 2 exons. The record is from RefSeq and is a predicted model, not a curated record.
GUCUUCAUGUCAUAAGCAUGACAUGGUAAUUAGUCAUAUCAUGUCCACUGCAAAGGCCUUUUUCACAUUGCAGUGCAAUUAAGGAAAAGCUCAGGUGUUACUAAUAACAUUAACAAUGAUUCUGUUCAAGUGUCCCAGUAAGUCAGGACAGUGAGCCAGCAUGAACAAUACCAGAACACUAAAAUAAGUAAUCUAAAGCAACUAAAUGGAAUCCAGCAGUCAAUAAUUUUAUUAUUUACUGUGCUUCUCCUACUGUGACAUGUCAAAAUGUUCUCUGUUCAGCUUUCACCCAGCUGGACAUGCACUUGAGUGUGGAAGAAUCCAAAACGACCAGAGAAAGAGGUGGAAAGGAUGCCACUGGAUUGAUUUCAAACCUACGCUCUGACCUUUGGCCAGGAAUGCCUCAGUGUUACUUCGGGCUCAACAGACUCGUUCCUACUGAUGUAAUCAACCUUCCUCUCAAACACACUCUCUCUCCAGUAUAAUGCCCAAAUGCUUUGAUUAUCAGUGCUGAAUAAUUUAAUGUCUCAUUCAUUCAUCUGUGUGAAACUGUCAGCUAAGUACCCUCCUUCUGAUCCUUUUAUUGUCCAGAUAUUUGACAGGACAGCAGUACUUUGUAAUAUGCAAAUUUUCCUUCUAAUUAAAAACUACAGAAGUUGAUUUCAUUGAUCAGCACACAACCAGAGACACCGCUAGAAAUGUUGUGUACCUUGAUAACAGUUUUCACAUAAUAAAUAUCUGUUGAGCUCUGGCCCCCCUGAAACAUUUAGGGCCCCUUUCCUAACGGCCUUGCAGUGUAAUGUACUUUGUGUACUUUACUCGUUUUAUAUAAAUUUGGAGACAGCAACAGUGUAUUUCCCCUGUUUUAGCUUCCCUUCAUUGGCUCGCACUUACUUUUAGAACUGAUUUUGAACUUGUUUUGUUAAUAUUGAUCUCAGGUUAAGUAGCUCCAAAUCUCCCUUGAAAACCUACUUUUAUAAAAAAAAGUUUUCUAUUAAGUGAUCAUUCUAUGUGCUUCAGUUUAUUAUUUUCCCUCAUUUUAUGUGUGAUUUUAUUGUUGCUUGUGUUACCUGAUGUUUUACUCAUACUUACUGAUGCUUUUUCUUGGUUGCUGUCACUUGUGCAGCACCUUGUAACAUUGUUAAGAAAGGUGAUAUAUAAAUAAAGAUUAUUCUUAUUAGUAAUAUUACUGUAUGUACUGUAUGCCUCCCCAUUUAAGGACAUUUUUAUUGUCCUUUGUCUAUAUGGUCUAUAUUUUCUCCUUUAUAUUGUACUAAUUAAAUUUGAAUAUGUUUUGAAUUUAUUGUAUUGUACUGUAUCUACAGUAAUUGUAUUAUAUUUUGUAUCUGUAUCUGUAUUCUAAUUUAUUGUUUGGUACAUUUAAUUUAUAUCAAAUCAUCAUCCAGUUGUGUGAUUAUGUGAUGAUAUACAUUAUGAUGAAGUCUGUUGAAGUUAUUCUGCAGUAAUUAUGACCAGUACCGUCAUCUUUUUCCAUCAAUAAAAGGUGUUAUUAGUUCAAAGUUGAUAUAAAAAAGUAGGGAUGACCUAUUCAUCCAGUGUGCCACAGGUCAUGCCAUACUUCCUAGUACGUUAUCUGUACAUGAUCUGCAAGAGAUACUGGGUUUAUCGGAAUUGGCGUUAUAUAAAUAAAAUUGAAUUGAAUAGAUUUGAAGAAACUCCCAACUGGUAACCACCUUAGAGGAGGAAGACAGUCAACAUCAGCAGACAAACACUGACACCCACUGGCUGCUCGAUCACAUUAACAUUUACUGUAGUCAGUGUUGUGCUUCAAUCUGAAUGGCCUUCAUGUUCAAGAGUUCAGUGAUGCAAAGAAACUAGGUACAUUUACUCAAGUAGUGUACUUAACAAUUGUGAGAUAACUUGUACUUUAUUUUAAUAUUGCACUUCUUACGUAAGUUACAUUCUUAAGUAAGAUGUUGAAUGCAGGACAUUUUUGUAAUGAAGCAUUUAAUAUUUAAUUUUAUUUAUUUAUUAGAUUUUUAAAAAUGUACUCAAGUCAAACUGCUUGUUUGAAUAAAGGUUUGAAUGUGA